GCUUCAUUCAAAUAUCUGCCCUAUCAACUUUCGAUGGUAGGAUAGUGGCCUACCAUGGUUUUAACGGGUAACGGGGAAUAAGGGUUCGAUUCCGGAGAGGGAGCCUGAGAAACGGCUACCACAUCCAAGGAAGGCAGCAGGCGCGCAAAUUACCCAAUCCCGACCGGGGAGGUAGUGACAAUAAAUAACAAUAUAGGGCUCUUUUGGGUCUUAUAAUUGGAAUGAGUACAAUUUAAAUCUCUUAACGAGAAACAAUUGGAGGGCAAGUCUGGUGCCAGCAGCCGCGGUACUUCCAGCUCCAAUAGCGUAUAUUAAAGUUGUUGCAGUUAAAAAGCUCGUAGUUG
This 344-nucleotide ribosomal RNA is filed under the name uncultured fungus. RNAcentral's name for it is "SSU rRNA". It matches the Rfam family "Eukaryotic small subunit ribosomal RNA", at positions 292 to 636 of the family's 1831-position model. The record is from RNAcentral. Lineage: Eukaryota; Fungi.